Molecule: ribosomal RNA, 670 nt
Filed under: uncultured fungus
Lineage: Eukaryota; Fungi
Description: eukaryotic LSU rRNA
Rfam family: Eukaryotic large subunit ribosomal RNA
Source: RNAcentral
CCCGCUGAACUUAAGCAUAUCAAUAAGCGGAGGAAAAGAAACUAACAAGGAUUCCCCUAGUAACUGCGAGUGAAGCGGGAUAAGCUCAAAUUUAAAAUCUGGCGGUCUUUGCGGCCGUCCGAGUUGUAAUCUAGAGAAGUGUGUUCGCGCUAGUUAUGAGUAUAUAUAACUCGCCUGGAAUGGAGAGUGACAGAGGGUGAUAAUCCUGUAUCUGACAUGGACUGCGAGUGCUCUGUGAUAUUCUCUCAGAGAGUAGAGUUGUUGGGGAACGCAGCUCUAAAUGGGUGGUAUUUUACAUAUAAAGCUAUAUAUUGGCGAGAGACCGAUAGCGAACAAGUACCGUGAGAGAAAGAUGAAAAGAACUUUGGAAAGAGAGUUAAACUGUAUGUGAUAUUGUUGAAAGGGAAACGCUUGAAGUCAGUCACAUUGGUCAGAGAUCACUCUUGCUUUAUAGUCUGACGUAUUUUCUGAUUUUAAUGGGCCAGCAUCAAUUUUGAUCGAUGGAAAAAAACUAAAUGAAUGUAGCAUCUUUUGGAUGUGUUAUAGCUUUUAGUGGUAUACAUUGGUUGAGAUUGAGGAAUUCAGCAUGCCAUAUGGUUGAAUUUUUUAAAUUACAUUCAUGCUUAGGAUGCUGGCAUAAUGGCUUUAAUCGACCCGUCUUGAAACACGG